This 60-nucleotide ribosomal RNA is filed under the name Uraria lagopodioides. Its description in RNAcentral is "Uraria lagopodoides partial 28S ribosomal RNA". Lineage: Eukaryota; Viridiplantae; Streptophyta; Magnoliopsida; Fabales; Fabaceae. The record is from RNAcentral.
AGACCUCAGGUCAGGCGGGGCUACCCGCUGAGUUUAAGAUAUCAAUAAGCGGGAAAGAAA